UUCGUACGCUGAACACUCUGCUUGCAGAGUGUGGAUGAGUGGCGAACGGGGUGUAACACGUGGGGAACCUGCCCAUAAGAGGGGGAUAACAUCCGGAAACGGGUGCUAAUACCGCAUAGGUGAUCAUAGCGCAUGCUUAGAUCAUUAAAGAUGGCUUCGGCUAUCGCUUAUGGAUGGCCCCGCGGCGUAUUAGCUAGUUGGUGAGGUAAUGGCUCACCAAGGCUGUGAUACGUAGCCGACCUGAGAGGGUGAUCGGCCACACUGGAACUGAGACACGGUCCAGACUCCUACGGGAGGCAGCAGUAGGGAAUCUUCCACAAUGGGCGAAAGCCUGAUGGAGCAAUACCGCGUGAGUGAAGAAGGUCUUCGGAUCGUAAAGCUCUGUUGUUAGAGAAGAACAAGAGGUGUAGUAACUGGCACCUCCUUGACGGUAUCUAACCAGAAAGUCACGGCUAACUACGUGCCAGCAGCCGCGGUAAUACGUAGGUGACAAGCGUUGUCCGGAUUUAUUGGGCGUAAAGCGAGCGCAGGCGGUCUUUUAAGUCUGAUGUGAAAGCCCACGGCUCAACCGUGGAGGGUCAUUGGAAACUGGAAGACUUGAAUGCAGAAGAGGAAAGUGGAAUUCCAUGUGUAGCGGUGAAAUGCGUAGAUAUAUGGAGGAACACCAGUGGCGAAGGCGACUUUCUGGUCUGUAAUUGACGCUGAGGCUCGAAAGCGUGGGGAGCGAACAGGAUUAGAUACCCUGGUAGUCCACGCCGUAAACGAUGAGUGCUAAGUGUUGGAGGGUUUCCGCCCUUCAGUGCUGGAGCUAACGCAUUAAGCACUCC
RNAcentral lists this ribosomal RNA (827 nucleotides) under Amphibacillus sp. In2-1-4. RNAcentral's name for it is "bacterial SSU rRNA". It matches the Rfam family "Bacterial small subunit ribosomal RNA", at positions 61 to 870 of the family's 1533-position model. Lineage: Bacteria; Bacillati; Bacillota; Bacilli; Caryophanales; Bacillaceae. The record is from RNAcentral.